RNAcentral lists this long non-coding RNA (926 nucleotides) under Mytilus galloprovincialis (Mediterranean mussel). The record is from RNAcentral. Lineage: Eukaryota; Metazoa; Mollusca; Bivalvia; Mytilida; Mytilidae.
UGGGUAGUGUUCGUGGACUGUUGUUUGUUUCUGAAUCUUUACUUUUAUGGGUAGUUUUCGUGGACUGUUGUUUGUUUCUGAAUCUUUACUCUUCUAGGUAGUGUUCGUGGACUGUUGUUUGUUUCUGAAUCUUUACUUUUAUGGGUAGUGUUUGUGCAGUUUUUUGUUUCUGAAUCUUUACUUUUAUGGGUAGUGUUCGUGGACUGUUUUUUUUUUGUUUUUGUUUCUGAAUCUUUACUUUUCUAGGUAGUGUUUGUGGGCUGUUGUUUGUUUCUGAAUCUUUGCUUUUCUGUGUAGUGUUUGUUGACUGUUUUUUUUUUUUUUUUUUUGGUUUCUGAAUCUUUACUUUGGUGGGUAGUGUUUGUGGACUGUUGUUUGUUUCUGAAUCUUUACUUUUCUGUGUAGUGUUUGUCGACUGUUUUUUUUUUUUUUUUCUGUUUCUGAAUCUUUAUUUUCAUGGGUAGUGUUUGUCGACUGUUUUUUUAUUAUUUUUUUUUGUUUCUGUUUCUGAAUCUUUACUUUUAUGGGUAAUGUUUGUCGACUGUUGUUUGUUUCUGAAUCUUUACUUUUCUAGGUAGUGUUUGUCGACUGUUGUUAGUUGUUGGAUCUUAGUUUUAUGAGUUGUGUUUGUAGACUGUUGUUUGUUGUUGAACCUUACUUUUCUGGGUAGUGUUUGUGGACUGUUGUUUGUUUCUAAAUCUUUACUUUUCUGUGUAGUGUUUGUGAACUGUUGUUUUUUUAUAUCUUAUUUUUUUCUUUUCUAAAUGGGUUCACAGGUGUAUGUCUUUCAUCGCCUUUUGAUUCUGGUUUAUAUUUUUUUCGAAUGAAUUAGUUUAACAAUAUUUUACAGAUCAAAUAAUUAUCAAAGGUACCAUGAAUAUAAUUUAAUAUGCCAGACGAGCGUUUCGUCGACAUAAGACUCAUCA